GCAGGAGAAUACUUGAGCAUUAUACAUCACCGUCAUUGGGAGUGGAAAUGUCGACAUUAUCCCCCAACGCUGCUCUCUCUUUAUUAUUGACGCCCUGGACAUCACCAAGACGAGGGACAUUAGUAUUCCCUUGGUCAGUCUGGAUUUUUCGGUCUGCUUUACGGGAACCUUUAUCACCGUCGUUCCCCAGCUGAUGAGUUCUGAAUUCGGCAGUUGAAUCCUUCUCAACAGUCUGCUUUACGGGAACCUUUAUCACCGUCGUUCCCCAGCUGAUGAGUUCUGAAUUCGGCAGUUGAAUCCUUCUCAACAGUCUGCUUUACGGGAACCUUUAUCACCGUCGUUCCCCAGCUGAUGAGUUCUGAAUUCGGCAGUUGAAUCCUUCUCAACAGUCUGUGUUACGGGAACCUUUAUAAACGUGAUCCGCAGUUCUGGUUCCGGAAUGAGGGAUCCUCCUUGCGCCAGUCCCGAGUUUUUUUCUCGUCCCGGAAUUCGGCACCAAUUGUUAUUAGACGCGUUCUCACGACCGGCCAGGAAGAACACCACAGACCAGAAUCUUCUGCGGCAAAGCUUUAUUCUUACAUCUUCAGGAGCCAGAGUGUAAGCAGCAAGAGAGCAAGAAGCAAGAGAGAGCGAAGCAAGAGAGAGAAGCAAGAGAGAGAAGCAAGAGAGCGAAGCAAGAGAGAGAGAAAAACGAAAACCCCGUCCCUCUUAAAGAGCAUUCUCCUUCGCCUCGGACGUGUCACUCCCUGAUUGGCUGCAGCCCAUCGGCCGAGUUGACGUCACGGGGAAGGCAGAGCACAAGUAGUCAUAAGAUACCCUUGGCACAUGCGCAGAUUAUUUGUUUACCACUUAGAACACAGGAUGUCAGCGCCAUCUUGUAACGGCGAAUGUGGGGGCGGCUCCCAACAGUUUGUAUUUGCUUGGCCCAUGAAGUGGCACUAUUAGGAGAUGUGGCCUUGUUGGGGUAGGUGUAUCACUGUGGGUGUGGGCUUAAGACACUGGAAGUCAGUAUUCUGCUAGCAGCCUUCAGAUGAAGAUGUGGAACUCUCGGGUCCUCCUGCACCAUGCCUGCCUGGAUGCUGCCAUGUUUCCACCAUGAUGAUAAUGGAUUGAAUCGCUGAACCUAUAAGCCAGCCCCAAUUAAACAUUGUCCUUUAUAAGACUUGUCUUUUUCAUGGUGUCUGUUCACAGCAGUAAAACCCUAACUAAGACAGAAGGCUAUUCUAACUCUUAGAGGUGGGGGGUGAAGCUCAGCCUCUAUAUGACCAGUCUACCCUCUGGGAUGCUCAUGUGGGCUCCAGAAGACACUAAACUGAGGCUGAGACCUAGAGCUCUCUCCCCUCCCUAACCCAUCCAUUUCCUGCAUUUCUUCUAGAAUAAUCACUCAGUGAUGAACUUCGAUGUCAGGAGCGAACCUCCGGAAACAGUGGGGUUCCUCGAGGAAUACCUGAUGUGUUCUGAUGAGCAACCACAGGAGCCACGAGGAUAUCUUUGUCACUGUUCUUUUGCUGUGAGGAGACACCAUGACCACUGCACCUCUUAUAAAGGAAAACAUUUAAUUGGGGCUGCCUUACAGUUUCAGAGGUUUAGUCCAUUAUUGUCAUGGCAAGAAACAUGGCAACACGCAGGAGGACAUGGUGCUGCUGGAGGAGAUGAGAGUUGCACAUCUGGAUCCACAGGCAGCAGAAAGAGAACUGGCUAGAGCUUUUGCGACCUCAAGCCCCACCCCCUAGUUUCACAAUUCCUUCAACAAAGGCACGCCCACUCCAAGGCCCCACCUCCAAAUAGUGCCCCUUCCUCUGAGCGUAUAGGAGCCAUUUUCUGUCAAACCACCACAGUGGCGGACUGCCAGUCAGUCAUGGCAUGGUGGCAGUGCAGUGUUCCUCUGUAUACUCUUCCACCUGGAUGUCCUGGUGAUCACUCAUGAGUAUCGUUGACUGAACCUCUUCAUAAUAUCUGUAGAAAACCCUCCCUCUGAAAAUAAUGAUGGCCAUAUCAAACAGGCUCAUCUGGGACGUCCCCCAAGUCGUCACCAUGACCAGCUAUCUCUGGAGAGCUGGAAGCACAGUCUUUCUCUUCACUUCCUGGGCACUUUGUCACUUAAGCCACAGAACAGCCCUGGCACACCGCACUAGUUGUUGGCCUUUACUCUAACCCAGAGGGUCCACGCCCACUUUUAUGGACAAGUAGGAUGAUGUCACCUCUCCCCAAAUCUUCUUGGAGCCUGUGCAGAAACCAAAGUCUUCUCUCCCAAGCAAGCUGAAAACCAAAGCCGAGUGGAGCGCAAAUGCAUGUGGGGAGGAAGCGCGUCUACUCCAGUGUCUUCUGGCACCUGGCUCAGUCAGCCAGAGUCUUUUAAAUUGGGUUUUUAUUUUAAGCCUGUAUCAAGGAAACCUCCUUCCUGGAGCUAUUUUGGAUGGAGGACAUCCGUAAAGAACGAACAGAUACAACCUGUUUUUGAGGAACUCUCGUUUUGUGAGACUGAUUAAAAUGUACGUAGACUCACACAAA
This 2511-nucleotide long non-coding RNA is filed under the name Mus musculus (house mouse). RNAcentral's name for it is "RIKEN cDNA B230220B15 gene". Lineage: Eukaryota; Metazoa; Chordata; Mammalia; Rodentia; Muridae. The record is from RNAcentral.